Clupea harengus (Atlantic herring) is the source of this 664-nucleotide long non-coding RNA. The record is from Ensembl. Lineage: Eukaryota; Metazoa; Chordata; Actinopteri; Clupeiformes; Clupeidae.
GGGGGGGAAAAGUGGCCCGGGAGUUACUGUCAGACCGGCCCACUCAAUACACGGCGCGCGGCCCACUCAGUACACAGCGCGCUGCCCACUCAAUACACGGCUAUUACACGAAUAAAAUGAUACUGGCUAUUGUAACACUCCAAGGUAGGUAUAGCUAGAUGAAUAUGGUUAACUCUGGGCUAGUAUCAGAUGGUUAUACGUAUUACUACAUGUAACAGGUUAGAAAAGCAGGUUUAAAUAAUUGCACCACAUAAUCUGUUACCUGUAUUUCAGUUUCUUUUUAAUCUUUUAUUUUGAUAUCACAAGCACACUGGUAUUGGGGGUCUCUGCUAGCCCCCCCUGUCUCCCCCUGUUUUGUUCCUCUCUCCCCCCUUCCUCUUUCCUGUUUGACAUAUGCUGGGAAUGAGCAUUGAGAGUGAAGCUAAGAUACGGUAGCUCACCAAACUGUGUGUCUGUUGGUGUGAUUUCACAGUGUCUUUCAAGAGUUUGGGUGGAAUGGAUAUUUCCUAUGAUUCUCUGCCAAAGUAUCACUGUGGAAAUGAAAGUCUCACUCUAAGGUUUGCUACUACCAGACAAACAGAUGUCUUCUUUCUCACAGAGAAACUUAAACCCAUUCCAGUGCAGAAGCUCCCAAAAGACUGCAAACACACAGCCGUCAAGCAUG